This 462-nucleotide ribosomal RNA is filed under the name uncultured bacterium. Its description in RNAcentral is "partial 16S ribosomal RNA". It matches the Rfam family "Bacterial small subunit ribosomal RNA", at positions 28 to 507 of the family's 1533-position model. The record is from RNAcentral.
GACGAACGCUGGCGGCGUGCUUAACACAUGCAAGUCGAGCGGUAAGGCCUUUCGGGGUACCCGAGCGGCGAACGGGUGAGUAACACGUGGGUGAUCUGCCCUGCACUUCGGGAUAAGCCUGGGAAACUGGGUCUAAUACCGGAUAUGACCUCCUAUCGCAUGGUGGGUGGUGGAAAGAUUUAUCGGUGCAGGAUGGGCCCGCGGCCUAUCAGCUUGUUGGUGGGGUAAUGGCCCACCAAGGCGACGACGGGUAGCCGACCUGAGAGGGUGACCGGCCACACUGGGACUGAGACACGGCCCAGACUCCUACGGGAGGCAGCAGUGGGGAAUAUUGCACAAUGGGCGAAAGCCUGAUGCAGCGACGCCGCGUGAGGGAUGACGGCCUUCGGGUUGUAAACCUCUUUCAGCAGGGACGAAGCGCAAGUGACGGUACCUGCAGAAGAAGCACCGGCUAACUACGUG